AUUGAACGCUGGCGGCAUGCCUUACACAUGCAAGUCGAACGGUAACGGGCCUUCGGGUGCCGACGAGUGGCGAACGGGUGAGUAAUGUAUCGGAACGUACCUUUCAGUGGGGGAUAACGUAGCGAAAGUUACGCUAAUACCGCACAUUCUGUGCGCAGGAAAGCAGGGGAUCGCAAGACCUUGCGCUGAUUGAGCGGCCGAUAUCAGAUUAGCUAGUUGGUGAGGUAAAGGCUCACCAAGGCGACGAUCUCUAGCGGGUCUGAGAGGAUGAUCCGCCACACUGGAACUGAGACACGGUCCAGACUCCUACGGGAGGCAGCAGUGGGGAAUUUUGGACAAUGGGGGCAACCCUGAUCCAGCCAUGCCGCGUGAGUGAAGAAGGCUUUCGGGUUGUAAAGCUCUUUCGGCCGGGAAGAAAUCGUAUCAGCUAAUACCUGGUGCGGAUGACGGUACCGGCAUAAGAAGCACCGGCUAACUACGUGCCAGCAGCCGCGGUAAUACGUAGGGUGCGAGCGUUAAUCGGAAUUACUGGGCGUAAAGCGUGCGCAGGCGGUUUUGUAAGACAGGCGUAAAAUCCCCGGGCUCAACCUGGGAACUGCGUUUGUGACUGCAAGGCUAGAGUACGGCAGAGGGGGGUGGAAUUCCACGUGUAGCAGUGAAAUGCGUAGAGAUGUGGAGGAACACCAAUGGCGAAGGCAGCCCCCUGGGUCGAUACUGACGCUCAUGCACGAAAGCGUGGGUAGCAAACAGGAUUAGAUACCCUGGUAGUCCACGCCCUAAACGAUGUCAACUAGGUG
Molecule: ribosomal RNA, 797 nt
Filed under: uncultured bacterium
Lineage: Bacteria
Description: bacterial SSU rRNA
Rfam family: Bacterial small subunit ribosomal RNA
Source: RNAcentral